Molecule: ribosomal RNA, 484 nt
Filed under: uncultured bacterium
Lineage: Bacteria
Description: partial 16S ribosomal RNA
Rfam family: Bacterial small subunit ribosomal RNA
Source: RNAcentral
AUUGAAUGCUGGCGGCAGGCCUAACACAUGCAAGUCGAGCGGAUGAAGGGAGCUUGCUCCUGGAUUCAGCGGCGGACGGGUGAGUAAUGCCUAGGAAUCUGCCUGGUAGUGGGGGAUAACGUCCGGAAACGGGCGCUAAUACCGCAUACGUCCUGAGGGAGAAAGUGGGGGAUCUUCGGACCUCACGCUAUCAGAUGAGCCUAGGUCGGAUUAGCUAGUUGGUGGGGUAAAGGCCUACCAAGGCGACGAUCCGUAACUGGUCUGAGAGGAUGAUCAGUCGCACUGGAACUGAGACACGGUCCAGACUCCUACGGGAGGCAGCAGUGGGGAAUAUUGGACAAUGGGCGAAAGCCUGAUCCAGCCAUGCCGCGUGUGUGAAGAAGGUCUUCGGAUUGUAAAGCACUUUAAGUUGGGAGGAAGGGCAGUAAGUUAAUACCUUGCUGUUUUGACGUUACCAACAGAAUAAGCACCGGCUAACUUCGUG